GACUAAAAUUCUUGGAUUUAUUGAUGCUGAAGAUUUUUACAAGAAUACAUAUGUGUGUGAGGAUUACUAUUGCUGGAUUUUGACUAAAAAUUACUUCCCAGUAUCUAUACCUGUGCGUGUAUUUGUAUAGUGAUACAAUAUAUUGAAGCCAAAAGUUAUUUAAAACGAUUUUACAUGUACAGUGUAGUUUUUUCCAGGUGUAAUUAUGAACUGUAGUUAAAUGUUGCUGGGUUACUGUUUGAUUCAUGGAUUUUUUUUCCCAGCUGCAUAAGAUUUGAAUUUUGAGAUUCUUACUCCAGUAAAACUGUAGGAAGUUAUAAUUUGUUUGCAGACAGUUCUUUCUACUAUGAUAAUACACAUAUAAAGGAAUUGAUAUUGCAAAUUUAUAGAAUAUUAUUAGAUAUUUAUUGUUUAUAGGUAUAUACCUA
Molecule: long non-coding RNA, 428 nt
Filed under: Mytilus galloprovincialis (Mediterranean mussel)
Lineage: Eukaryota; Metazoa; Mollusca; Bivalvia; Mytilida; Mytilidae
Source: RNAcentral